GGACUGUAGCUUAUUGGCAGAGCGCUUGCCUAGUGUGCAUGAGGCACUGGAUUCGAUUCUUAGCACCA
Molecule: transfer RNA, 68 nt
Filed under: Marmota monax (woodchuck)
Lineage: Eukaryota; Metazoa; Chordata; Mammalia; Rodentia; Sciuridae
Description: tRNA.Thr
Source: RNAcentral